UACGUAGGGUGCGAGCGUUAAUCGGAAUUACUGGGCGUAAAGCGUGCGUAGGCGGUUUGUCGCGUCUGCCGUGAAAGUCCGGGGCUCAACUCCGGAUCUGCGGUGGGUACGGGCAGACUAGAGUGAUGUAGGGGAGACUGGAAUUCCUGGUGUAGCGGUGAAGUGCGCAGAUAUCAGGAGGAACACCGAUGGCGAAGGCAGGUCUCUGGGCAUUAACUGACGCUGAGGAGCGAAAGCGUGGGGAGCAAACAGG
This 253-nucleotide ribosomal RNA is filed under the name uncultured bacterium. Its description in RNAcentral is "partial 16S ribosomal RNA". It matches the Rfam family "Bacterial small subunit ribosomal RNA", at positions 524 to 776 of the family's 1533-position model. The record is from RNAcentral.